This 12055-nucleotide long non-coding RNA is filed under the name Homo sapiens (human). RNAcentral describes it as "HSALNT0098818". The stretch from base 10948 to 11020 matches the Rfam family "U4 spliceosomal RNA". Lineage: Eukaryota; Metazoa; Chordata; Mammalia; Primates; Hominidae. The record is from RNAcentral.
UAACCAUGCUGUUUGGAGAGAAGAAAACCACCUGGAAUUCUUGUUCUCCAAAGAUGUGGAAUUAUCAUCCCAACAACAGCUGUCCUUCACUCUGUCCGGGGGCCUUCAGGUGGAGAGAGGAGGGGAUCCAAUUGCCUGUGAGGAGGACACGGCUCAUGGGUGGACCCUGCAGAUUGUGAAGUUCAAGUCACAGCUCCUGGGAAGGUCUCUGUGUGUAAAGAUUGUGGGGGCGAGAUAGAUUCAGGGACCACACUCUGCUCUGCUCUAUAUCUCUGAGUGUCGAUCCAGCUGCCUUGUGACCAGGACACUUGGAAGAACCAUGGACCCUGCAAGAGGGCAGGUUCAGAGAGUGAGAUGAGCACGCUUGAGGGAUUAAAGUGUAACUUGAACCACUGCCUUGCAAACUGCGUGAGGGCAUGCAGGUGUGUGUCUGUGCGUGUGUGUGCUGGGAAGAUGUUUAGCAGCCUCAUGGAGGGGUAACUGACAUACAAGAGAACAAGCCAGGCAUGGUGGCUCACGCCGUAAUCCCAGCACUUUGGGAGGCCGAGGUGGGUGAAUCACCUGAGGUCAGGAGUUCGAGACCAGCCUGACCAACACAGUGAAACCGCAUCUCUACUAAAACUACAAAAAAUUAGCCAGGCAUGGUGGCGGGCACCUGUAAUCCCAGCUACUCUGGAGGCUGAGGCGGGAGAAUCACUUGAACCCAGGAGGUGGAGGUUGCAGUGAGCCGAGAUCGUGCCACUGCACUCCAGCCUGGGCAACAAGAGCGAAACUCCAUCUCAAAAAAAACAAAUUUUUUUGAUCAAUGUUAACACACGUACGCACCCGCAAAACCAUGACCAGGAGCAUCACGACUCCCAAAGCUUCCUCAUGAUUCUUUGGAAUCCCUCCCUACAGCCCCUCCCACCCCCCCCCAUCCCAAGCAGCCACUGAUUUGCUUUCUGUCACAGUCAGUAGAUUUGCAAUUUCCUUAAUACCAUGUCUGAGCCCAGUAGGCAAAUACUUUCUUUUUAUUGGGUGGACAUUUCGUGGCAUGUUCAAGCUUUUGAAUUCAGAGAGUGAGAGGAUGAGAAAGAAAAGGCUGGUCUGGGUCACUCCUGGGAGGCCUGGCCCUAAGCACCGUGUGGCUCAUGUGCCCUGGAGCCCCUGUGCACCGGUCAUCCCUGACUGCCCUGCCGCAAGCUUUAUAGCUCCCCCAUCACCUUUCCCGGACCAGCUGGUACAAUCUCAAACUUUUCACCAAUUCUGACAUCUAAACAACUAACGCCAGAGACAGGCUCUGUGGGACCAGCAGCUGCGACCUCACCUCCGGUCACUGGAACACUGAGCUGUUAAAUGAAAGACCUCUGAAUAAGUCGUGGGAGCCCUCGGGUCCUGCAGACCACAAGGGAGGAGCGACUGAUGUUCACUUUGGAGACGCGGGCUUCUGAUUGCACCCUUGCCCCAGGCCCCGUGAACUCCAGGAAAGGAUCUUCCAGGGACACAGACAACAGAACAAAAUACUUGUUUGUCUUCAAGGACUUCAGGGUCUUCAGCAUGUUCAAACCCACAGGUGCCUUCGGGGACCAAGAGGCAGAGAGAUGGGAGGAGCGGCUGGGUGGGGCCCGGGCAGAGCGGAGGACACAGGUGUGAAUUUGUGCGCAGCCGCUGCUCCCUCCGGCCAGCCGUGGCCAAGUGGACAUUCGGACCCAGAGCGGCCAGAUCUUGUAAUUUCCAAGAAAGCCAGAAACCCAGAUUUUUAUAUAAAAUUUCUGAAAUGUUGAAAGUUGGCAACUAAUUGUCUUUUUUUUUCCUUUGAGUCGGAGUCUCGCUCCGUCGCCCAGGCUGGAGUGCAGUGGCACAAUCUCGGCUCACUGCAAGCUCCGCCUCCCGGGUUCACACCAUUCUCCUGCCUCAGCCUCCCGGGUAGCUGGGACUACAGGCGCCCGCCACCACGCCCUGCUAAUUUUUUUGUAUUUUUAGUAGAGACGGGGUUUCACUGUGUUAGCCGGGAUGGUCUCGAUCUCCUGACCUCGUGAUCCGCCCAUCUCGGCCUCCCAAAGUACUGGGAUUACAGGCGUGAGCCACCGCGCCUGGCCGGCAGCUAUUUAUCUUAACAAAACAAAUCUGUGAGGCUAAACAGAAGACCCCCAGGCUGGGUUCAGGCUAUGGGUGCCAGUGUGCAGCCUCUGGUCUCGAGGGAGAGCCAGACACAUACAUCAUUACAACAUGAGCUGAUGUGGGGUUACAAGGUGCCCUGGGAGCAGAGAGAAAGAAGGGCCUGAUAAUCACAGCUUCCCUUUCCUGAGAACUUGCAGGUACCGGGGGGUCUACACACCACGGCUUCACGUAAUCCACUUGGCAACCUCACAAGGGCAGAGGAGCGUACAGACCAGGAAGGCAGAGGAGGGGCUGUCUUGAAAUGCACCUGGGACUUUGUUUUCCUCAGCUCUGGUCAGAUGACAGCCUGGGAGACACUGCCUUUGAAUGAAGAGUUGAUGACUUUCCAGCAUGGGGAAGCACCAGGUCAGUCCCGAGGCAGAAGGAGCAAGGGGAGGGCCCAGGCUGGGCCUUCACUGGGGUCUCUGUGGGAAGGAAUAGAUGAGGGUGGAGGUGAGCUUGAGCAAGCUUCGGGUGGCCCCGUUUGCCUAAUGUUGGCAGGCCCGGAGCUAUGGCAUGGUCCCUAGUCAUCCAGUACCAUGCUCUGGAGUGAGAUGGGGCAGGGAGAAUAUUUCCUGGGUGUGUGAGUUAGAUAAAGGGUGUGGUGGGGGCAGGGGCUUCUGACUGCUGGUUUGCAUAGGGAGGUAUGUGCUGUCUCCAGAACUAGCCAGCCCUGGGAGGGGCAGUCCCUUCCCCGCCAGCAAAGCCUCCUGCGAUGCCAAAGCGCCAUAGAACACAGAAACCAGAAAGCGUGGUUAAUCCAGGAGCCACACGAGGACUGAUGCCUUCCAUAUCGGUGUCCUGUAUGUGCUCUGCCGUAUUCUACCUCCUCUUUUUAAAAUGCAAAUAGAGAAUCCAAUCUGAAGAAAUAAUGCAAAGAAACUCUUUUUGUUGUUGUUUGUUUGAGACAGUCUCGCUCGGUCGCCCAGGCUCUAGUGCAAUGGUGCGAUCUCGGCUCACUGCAACCUCUGUCUCCUGGGUUCAAGCGAUUCUUCUGCCUCAGCCUCCCGAGUACCUGGGACUACAGGCACGUGCCACCACGCCUGGCUAAUUUUUGUAUUUUUAGUAGAGAUGGGGUUUCACCAUUUUGGUCAGGCUGGUCUCAAACUCCUGACUUUGUGAUCUGCCCGCCUCGGCCUCUCAAAGUGCUGGGAUUACAGGCGUGAGUCACCACGUCCGACCGCAAAGGAACUCCUUAGCGCUCCUCAACCACCUCCCUGCCCCUCGCUGUCUUUCUUUCUUUUUUUUUUUUUUUUUUGAGAGGAAGUCUCGCUCUGUCGCCCAGGCUGGAGUGCAGUGGCACCAUCUUGGCUCUCUGCAAGCUCCGCCUCCCAGGAUCACGCCAUUCUCCUGCCUCAGCCUCCCUAGUAGCUAGGACUACAGGCGCCCACCACCAAGCCUGGCUAAUUUUUUGUAUUUUUAGUAGAGACGGGGUUUCACUGUGUUAGCCAGGAUGGUCUCCAUCUCCUGACCUCGUCCACCCGCCUUGGUCUCCCAAAGUGCUGGGAUUACAGGCGUGAGUCACUGCGCUCGGCCUCGCUGUCUUUCUGGUAUCAGCAUCCGCCUCCUCCUCCCUCCCAGACUCCAGGCCCUGGGCUCCAGGCACGGUCCAUCCCUGUGGCCUCAAGGCACUGGGCACAUCCAUGCCAGUUUUAGUCUCUGUAACUACACAGCCAUGCAGCUGUGAGCUGAGAAUUUAACACACUGUCCCUUUCAGUGUCUGUUUCUCCUUCACUUUCCUGUAGCAAAGCAAAAAGGAGGGAAAAUGCAUCCCAGGUGCCGCCAGCUGCCACUGUUUUUCUUUGUGUGGUGUGUGUGACAGAGUCUUACUUUGUUGCCCAGCCUGGAGUAAAGUGGAGUGAUCCCGGCUCGCUGCAACCUCCGCCUCCUGGGUUCAAGCAAUUCUCCUGCCUCAGCCUCCUGAGUAGCUGGGAUUACAGGCACAUGCCACUACAUCUGGCUAAUUUUUGUAUUUUGAGUAGAGACGGGAUUUCACCUUGUUGGCCAGGCUGGUGUCGAACUCCUGACCUCAAGUCAUCCACCUGCCUCAGCCUCCCAAAGUGUUGAGAUUACAGGUGUGAGCCACUGUGCCUGCCCUGCUGCCAUGCUUUCAAGCCACUGUUAGGCUUUUCCACAUCCCCCAGCAUGCACCCACUCUCCCGGGAUGGUUAGGGGGCUCCAUCACCAUUUUCUGGAAACUGCCUCUAGUCAGAGGUUGCCUGGGGCUCUCCACACAAUCAUGGAGACGUAGAGGACACAGCCUGAUGCUAGACUGCACAGGACCCUCUUCCGCCAGAUUCCCUGGACACCUCCAUCCCCUCUUCUAGCAAUCAUGUCAGUGCACGGUAGCGCCUGUGUCCUAAGGUUCCCAUGCCACAAGGCUUGAACCCUUCACCCCUGUCUCCCGAGGCCAGGAUCAAGCCUGCUUGGCCCAGGGGAGGGGGCGAUAAAUGUCAUGGUUGGAAGCAUCAGGUGGGAGAGGGCUUAGUGUGGGGUCGUCAGAGUGACACUGAGAGGCUAAGACACACUGUCUGACACAGCCCAGCCAGGCGCUGCCCACAGCUGAGUUUCCAAAGGACACGUUCUGUGUCACCAUAUUCCAGGAUUCAAAUCCUUCCAGCCUGGGACAAGUUCCACGGGGUGCCAUGAGGCUGCCCCAAUUUGAUUUUGAAAUGUACAGUGAAAUGCCUACCUUGGUGGUGGCCAAGGCAGGGUGGGCCCAGAUGCCCCUGCUGAUGGACACACAGGCACGACACCCACAGUUCAGGGAGCCCGCUCCAGCCUGCCGUGGAGCCCUGGGCCAGGUCGUGAGCCAUGAGCCUGCUCGGGACAGUCCUUCCCGAUCCUGGAAGGGAGCGGCCCAAUUAUAACGGCUCCCUCGAGGCUCUCAGUGGAGCCGAGCCCAGAGAGGAGGCCUGCACUGCCAGAUGGGCAAACUCAUUAGGACUGUGGCAUUUUUUAUGCAAACGAAGGCAAAUACAUCCAUGGGAGAAAUGUAAACAGCAGACACGCACAAGAGCACGGACUUCACCGGGUUUCAAGAGGAGAGGGAGCUGGGACAGGAGGCCAGGAGAGAUCCCCACCCCCAGCACUGCCCUGCAGUGGCCUAGCCCAGGCCUUCUGGAUCUGCCUACCUGGGAUGCCCAAGAGGGAAACUGAGGCCCCACGAGCCCUGCACGUGGGCGGAGCCUGGCCUGACCUGUAGCUCCUUGGGAGGCUGAGGGAGAAGCAUUGCUUGAGGCCAGGAGUUUGAGACCAGCCUGGACAACACAGUUAAACCCCAUCUGUACAAAACACUAAAAAAUUAACCAGGCAUGGUGGCGCAUGCCUGUGGUCCCAGCUAUUCAGGAAGCUGAGAUGGGAGGAUCACUUGAGCCCAUGACUUAGAGGUUAUGGUGAGCUGUGAUCGUGCCACUGCACUCUAGCCUGGGCAACAGGGUAAGAUCCUGUCUUUUAAAAUAAAUAACAUACAAUAAUAUAAAAUAAAUAAAAAUUAUAAUAAAAAUGACUGUAGCGAGAACUCUUAAGGAGAGUCAAGAAGAUAUUGCAAAGAAACAAUAUGAAAAAACCAAUCUCUUUAAGGGUUCUUCUCAUUACAGUUUUUUUUUUUCUGAUUCUGUCUUGUUUCUUCACUGGCCAACCCCGCUCUGAUGCUUAGCUUGGGUCCCUGCCGCUCAAGCUACUAUGUCCUUCCCAUCAGUGCUGCUCAGUGUAGUCUUGGACCCAUGGCAUUCUGGCAUCCCCUGGGUGCCUGUUGGAAAUGCAGAUUCUUAGGCCCUGCCCCAGACCUCCUGACUCAAAUCUCUGAGGUGGAGCCCAGGACUGCAUAUGUUCCAGCUCCCCAGGGGAUUCUGUUGAGACCCGGCCUCUAUUCUCGGUGGCCUGGCUUUUCCUGCUUCUGUUGGGGGUGAGGCCCCUCCAGACUGAGCUGGUCAGGAUCUAGGCUCUUGGCAGCCUGCAUGAGGCAGGAGGCAAGUCCCUCUCUCGGGGAAGGCAGUGGCAGGUAAGCAAUGGCAGGUGAGUCGGCCAACAAGGCCCUUGCCACUGAGCUGUCCUAUGGAGAAGCCCCGUGCCUUUUUCUCAGGGCGCUCUGCGGGUGUGCCUGGGGUCGGACUGAGCCCCAGCAAUCUCCCUGCAUGUCAGUUACUGCUCUUACUUUCACUGUGGUCCCCGUGGGCUUUUUCAAGGCUCUGUCCUGGCCCAGGGAAAGGUGGACCAUGAGACCUCACAGCCAGAAAGAAGCAGCAGCCAACUGAGUUUCCGAAUGGAUUUGAAGAGCUCACAGCAGAGGAGAUACCAGUUUGAAAAUCAAGAUGUGUUUGAUUUGCUUUGGCCAUCAAGAGACACAUCCUGAAGGACUCUGUCUCAACAUUUUUCUACAUAAAAAAAGAGUGGGGAAGAAUGCAGGUUGGUGGGAGCUGGGAGAUAAGGUCCACAGGCCAGGAGAGGGCCCCCAGGCUGGGUCGUGUGAGGCAGUGUCCAUCUGAGAAGGAAAGUCUGCUGGCUGCAGGGUCCCAGCACCCAGGAGCUAGAGGAGAGGGGGUGGGAGGGAGAGCAGCUACGUGUCCCUGGGUUUCUUGAGCGAGGACUGAUAAACCCCAGGGGCACGUGUAGCUGCCACAAAAGCAUGCACCUCGAGUGCUUCCCCCUCCUAGCUGGCGGGAGAGGAAGGGACCAGGAUGGAGGCGAGCUUGGCAAAGUCUUUCUGGAAUCAGCAUCCUCCUCCUCCUCCUUCCCAGACUCCGGGCCCCAGGCUCCAAGCACAGUCCAUCCCUGCGGAGGACUUCCGUGGAUGCUGGUGGGCACAGAUGCCAGCCCAUCAUGUGCUACUCAGGCAGAUGCUAGGGAGCCAGGGGCCAGUCAUCGUUCUCCCUGAUGCCAGGGCACCACUCUGAGGAAAGGGAGAGAAGGACAGGUUGGUCUAAAUCCACCUGCAGGAUCUGAGUGACCGUACAUGGGGCUGGGGGCUGAAAUUUUCUGAGAGGGACUGGAUUACAUUUUCAGAAAUUGGAAUCAGAAAUUAAAACUGUGUUAUGAAAAAUAAUGAGUUACAUUUUGCACAUGUGAUGUUUGAGCCGGAUAAUUUGUGUUUGCCGCCUUUAUACUUGAAUGUGAAAGCACCUUGCACAGCACUUGGCAUAAAGUCAGUGCCCAGUGAUUACUAGUGAAUGCCUUCCUAACUGUGUACAUGGCCUGAAUGCACACGAACACACGAUGGAAACAGUCAGGGAGUGGAGAGGGUGUCCUGCUGAUUACUAGUGAAUGCCUUCCUAACUGUGCGUGGUCUGAAUGCACACAAACACAAGAUGGAAACAGUCAGGGAGCGGAGAUGGUGCCCCGCUGAUGCUGUCCUAUUAUUUUUAUUCAGAAGUCUGUUUGCCUUUUUACACAUUUUUGAUCCUACCAUAUAAACGAUUUUUAUAACAUUCAUGUUAUGUUACAUUCACAUUUAUUGCUAAUUUUUAUAACAUUAGUACAAGAUGAUUGAAUUCCUCCUUGGUCAGAAGACCCACGUCUGAAUCCUGGAUCCACUACUUGUUAGUUGAAGCAAGCAACUGUGCCUCUCAGUCUGUGAAAAGGAGGCAAUGCCUAGCUCAGGAGGCUGACAGGAUGAAGUCGGAGAGGAAUGAAUGGAAGUCUCUUGGGACUCAGGCCUGCCUGAUACUUUCUGGGCAGCUUAAAAUAUGUUUUCUGAAUGUUAAGGGAAGCACAGAGCAGGCAUGCAUGCAGAUGGGGGUGAAAUAUUACUUCCAUUCUUCCAUGUGUGAGUCCUAAACACACACCACCUCCCCCACACACAAACAGACCUACAACACAUGCCACACGUAACACAGGCACAGGCACACGCACACGCACCGCAGCAACACACACUGCACGCACACACAACACAGACUGUAACACAUACACACGUAUACCACCUACCACACUACACAAGGCCCCACAUUCACAUGAUACACAUGUACCACAUGCACAUAUAUGACCCGCAUCACCAACAAACACACGUGCAUCAUGUGUACACAUACACAUCAUAGGUACACAUCACAUGCACACAUGGCCCACAGGAACACACACAUAUGCCACAUACUGCAUGCAUGCACAUCCACAACACACGCAAUACAGGCACAUACAAGCCAUAUGUAGACACUGCGUGCACACACAUUUACACCACACUACAUGCACACACCAUAUUCACACAUACUUGCACACACACCACUGAUACACAUACUUCCACACAUGUCCGCAGCCUGCAUGCACAAACCAUAUUAUGCACACACACCCCAUAUACUAUUAGGUUGGUGCAAAAGUAAUCGCAGCUUUUGCCAUUACUUUCAAUAGCAAAAACUGCGAUUACUUUUUUUUUUUGAGACACAGUCUUACUCUGUCGCCCAGGCUGGAGUGCAAUGGGGUGAUCUCAGCUCACCGCAGCCUCUGCCUCUGGGGUUCAAGUGAUUCUCCUGCCUCAGCCUCCCCAGUAGCUGGGAUUACAGGUGUGCGCCACCACUCCUGGCUAAUUUUUGUAUUUUUAGUAGAGACGGGGUUUCACCAUGUUGGCCAGGCUGGUCUUGAACUCCUGACCUCAGGUGAUCUGCACACCUCGGCUUCCCAAAGUGCUGGGAUUACAGGCGUGAGCCACCAUGCCCAGACAAAAACCGUGAUUACUUUUGCACCAACCUGAUACGUGUGCACAGACAAGUUCGGUAAGCAGGCAUUGCAAUAAUUAAAGAUGACACGAGGUGGCACCAUGACACUUUUACUCAGAAAUUUUAUUUGCCUAUUUUUAUACAGUUGUGAUUAUACUCUAUAUUAGUAGUUCUCAAAGUGUAGCCAAAACUAUUUUCAUAAUAAUGGUAAGAUGUGAUUUGCCUUUUUUCAUUCUUAUUCUCCCAUGAGUAUACAGUGGAAUUUUCCAGAGAUGCUGUGAUGUGUGACAUUGUAACAGAUUGAAGGCAAAAGCAGAUCUGAGAAUCAGCUCAGACAUCUACCUAGAGAUUUGCCAGCGGCAAUGCAACUCACUAAUUUUGCAGAAGAUAUUGUUGCUUUCCAUACAAAAUUAUUUAUUGUUAACAUACAACAAUGGGUUUGUUGUUUUUAAUUUAAAAAAUUGAGCAAUUUGAAUUCUUUUUAAAGCUUAUUUUUAAUUGAAAAUGAAAUUAUUUAACGUGUACAACAUGAUGUUUUGAAAUAUGUAGACACUGUGGAAUCAUUACUAUUUUAAAAUAAGUAAAUAUUUCAAAACCUCCUCAAAUUUAAUCUGUAUUACAGUAAAAUUGAUAGAUGCAAUUCACGUAAAGUUCCUUAGGGUCCACAGGAGAUUUUCAGAGUAUAAAGCUAUCCUGAGAAAGAAUAUUUAACAAUCACUCUUCUAUAUGUAAUCACAUGUCCACAAAUACUUUUGAGGUUAAUCAUUUAUUUUAAAUUUAUAAGGAACCAACAAGAACAAAGAAAAGGAAAACACUUGUAAUCCUAUUGCAUGGGGACAAGAGACAAUCACGACUGACAUUUGCCAGGUUUUCUCCUAGUUGUGUUUCAGAGCAUCUGUUUCCAGGUUAGUGUGUUCUGAAUACAGGCUCUGUGUCCUACGCUCUGAAUAUGAGCCCCGCGUCCUAGCCUCUGGGUAUAAGCCUUGUGUCCUAGGUUCUGGGUAUAAGCCCCGGGUCCUAGGUUCUGCAUAUAAACCUUGUGUCCUAGGCUCUGGGUAUAAGCCUUGCUUCCUAGGCCCUGGGUAUAAGCCUAGGGUCCUAGACUCUGGGUAUAAGCCCCGGGUUCUAGGCUCUGGGUGUAAGCCCCGCCUCCUAGGCUCUAGGUGUAAGGCCUGGGUCCUAGGCUCUGGGUAGAAGCCCCGGGUCCUAGGCUCUGGAUACAAGCCUUGUGUCCUAGGCUCUGGGUAUAAACCUUCUGUCCUAGGUUCUGGGUAUAAGCCUUGUGUCCUAUUCUCUGGUUCUCAGCCCCUUGUCCUAGGCUCUGGGUAUAAAUCUUGUGUCCUAGACCUUGGGUUAAACCCCAUGUCCUAGGCUCCGGGUAUAAGCCCUGUGUCCUUUCUGCAUAUAAGCCUUGUGUUUCCUAGGCUCUGGGUAUAAGCCCCAUGUCCUAGGCUUUGAGUAUAAGCCCCAUGUCCUAGGCUCUGGGUAUAAACCUUGUGUCCUAGGCUCUGAGUAUAAGCCCCACGUCCUUUCUGGGUAUAAGCCUUGUGUCCUAGGCUCUGGGUAUAAGCCCCAUGUCCUAAUCCCUGGGUAUAAGCCCCGGGUUCUAGGCCCUGAAUAUAAGUUCUGUGUCCUUUCUGGUUAUAAGCCUUGUGUCCUAGUCUCUGGGUAUAAGCCCCAUGUCCUAGGCCCUGGUUAUAAGCCCCGAGUUCCAGGCCCUGGGUGUAAGUUCUGUGUUCUUUCUAGGUAUUAGCCUUGUGUCCUAGGCCCUGGGCAUAAACCUGUGUCCUAGGCCCUGGGUAUAUGCCCCAGGUUUUAGGCCGUGGGUAUAAGCCCCAAGUCCUAGGCUCUGGAUAGAAGCCCUGGGUUCUUGGUCCUGGGUAUGAGCCCCAUAUCCUAGGUCACCAACCAGAUUGAGAGCCCAGUCAAAGUUCUUUCUCAUGGUGUGUCUAGGACGUCAGAAAACCUAGAGAUGUGGCCGGACUCUGAGCCCCCUGAAAAGGGUUCCCAGACCUUUUGUGAGAGGGAGGCUUUGUCUGCCCAGAGCCCACCUAGUCUUGGAGUCUUGGAAGGCUGCCCGGCACCUCAGGUAGGCCUGUUUGCACCUCAGCCUCACCCUGGUCUGGGUAUCCACUCCAUACAGACAUGUUUUUAAAAAUUGAGGAAUAGCUUUGUGCAGUGGCAGUAUCAUAGCCAAUGAGGUUUAUCCGAGGCGUGAUUAUUGCUAAUUGAAAAAUUGAGGAAUAGUUUAGUAAAACACACAGAUCUUAAAUAUAUAAUUCAAUGGCUUUUUACAAAUAUCUAUCUGUAGCCAACACCCCAAUCAAGGCAGAAAACAUUGCCACCAUUGUAGAAAAUUCCCCCCAAUCCCUUUACAGUCUACUCAACUUCCCUUGUCCCCUAAUCCCCAAGCAGCCACUAUUCUGAUUUGCAUUCCAGAAAAGUAGUUUUUCUGGAUUUUUUUUUAACUGACUUUCGCUCUUGUCGCCCAGGCUCGAGUGCAGUGGCGCAAUCCUGACUCACUGCAACUUCCACCUCCUAGGUUCAAUCAAUUCUCCUGCCUCAGCCUCCCAAGUAGCUGGGAUUAGAGGCGUGCACCACCACGCCUGACUAAUUUUUGUAUUUUUAGUAGAGACGGGGUUUCACCAUGUUGACCAGGCUGGUCUUGAACUUCUGACCUCGGGUAAUCCGCCCACCUCUGCCUCCCAAAGUGCUGGGAUUACAGGUGUGAGCCACCGUGCCCAGCCUGGUUUUGAAUUUAAUAAAUCUGUAUGACAUCCUUUGUAUGGCUCCUUCAGUUCAAAACACUGUGUUUUUGUUGUUGUUGUUGUAGAGAUGGAGUCUUGAUCCAUUGCCCAGCCUGCUUUCAAACUCCUGGGCUCAAGCAAUCCUCUGCUCUUGGCCUCCCAAGUGUUGGGACUGCAGGUGUGAGUCAUCGCACCAGCCAGAGUCCAAUCGUGUCUCUAGUGAGAGCAGCCACUUUAAUAUAAAGGCUCAGGAAUUCCUCCUCAUGUUUGCUGCAGUGGCACUUGCCCUCUGAGUAUCAGUUAGCUAUUGUCACACUUAUGCUGUGUAACAAACCAUCCCCACAUCUCAGUGGCAAACAGUAAUAAUCAUUUAUUUCUUACUCAUGAGUUUGUGGGUUGGCUGGGCAGCUCUGCUCCACAUGCCUCUCAUCCUCUUCCUGGGACCAGCAGGGGCAGUUUCGUCUCUGGCUGAUGGCAGGGCCCUGAGAGACGGCACAUCUAACCCCACAAACACAUUUCCAGUUUUGC